RNAcentral lists this ribosomal RNA (411 nucleotides) under Ameerega picta group sp. ABGD cluster 18. RNAcentral describes it as "partial large subunit ribosomal RNA". It matches the Rfam family "Bacterial large subunit ribosomal RNA", at positions 1813 to 2418 of the family's 2925-position model. The record is from RNAcentral. Lineage: Eukaryota; Metazoa; Chordata; Amphibia; Anura; Dendrobatidae.
ACAUCGCCUCUUGAUCAAUUAUAAGAGGUCCAGCCUGCCCAGUGACUUUGUUCAACGGCCGCGGUAUCCUAACCGUGCGAAGGUAGCGUAAUCACUUGUUCUUUAAAUGAGGACUAGUAUGAAUGGCCCCACGAGGGCUGCACUGUCUCCUUUUUCUAAUCAAUGAAACUAAUCUCCCCGUGAAGAAGCGGGAAUAAUCCUAUAAGACGAGAAGACCCUAUGGAGCUUUAAACAAUUGAAACAUUUGCUUUCUUCUUAACCUCUUCCGAGCUCUUUAUUUUACUUAAGCAUUUUUAUUUCUAGUUUUAGGUUGGGGUGACCACGGAGCAAAACUUAACCUCCAUGAAGAAAUGAACAUAUUUUUAAGCCACAAACUACCCUUUUAAGCAUCAACAAAUUGACCUUCAUUGA